This 77-nucleotide microRNA precursor is filed under the name Drosophila ananassae. RNAcentral describes it as "Dan-Novel-11_pre stem-loop". The record is from RNAcentral. Lineage: Eukaryota; Metazoa; Arthropoda; Insecta; Diptera; Drosophilidae.
GAUAUUUUUCCAUUCGUUUUGGUGGGUGACAGCUGUUUGUUGGUUUGAAGAACGCCAAAGCAGUGGGAAAAUCUCUG